AGGGAGCGGCGGACGGGUGAGUAACACGUUGGUAACUACUCCAGAAUCAGGGAUAAGCUCUAGAAAUAGGGUCUAAUACCGGAUAGUCCCGAAAGGGUAAAGCAGCAAUGCGUUCUGGAAGGUGCCUGCGGCCUAUCAGCUUGUUGGUGAGGUAAAAGCUUACCAAGGCUAUGACGGGUAGCUGGUCUGAGAGGACGGCCAGCCACAAUGGAACUGAGACACGGUCCAUACUCCUACGGGAGGCAGCAGUAAAGAAUCUUUCACAAUGGGGGAAACCCUGAUGAAGCAACACCGCGUGGAGGAUGAAGGCGUUUUCGUUGUAAACUCCUUUUCUGAAGGAAUAACUUUGAAGGUACUUCAGGAAUAAGCAGCGGCAAACUACGUGCCAGCAGCCGCGGUAAUACGUAGGCUGCAAGCGUUAUCCGGAAUUAUUGGGCGUAAAGCGUACGCAGGCGGUUUGUCAAGUUGGAUGUCAAAACUAUGAGCUCAACUCAUAGCAGGUAUCCAAUACUGGCAAGCUGGAGAUAGGCAGAGGUAAGUGGAAUUCUGUAUGUAGGGGUAAUAUCCGUAGAUAUACAGAGGAACACCAAAAGCGAAGGCAGCUUACUGGGCCUUUUCUGACGCUCAUGUACGAAAGCGUGGGGAGCAAACGGGAUUAGAUACCCCGGUAGUCCACGCCCUAAACGAUGAACACUAGGUGUUGGGGGUCUCGACCCCUUCAGCGCCGCAGCUAACGCAUUAAGUGUUCCGCCUGGGUAGUACGAUCGCAAGAUUACAACUCAAAGGAAUAGACGGGGACCCACACCAGCGGUGGAGCAUCUGGUCUAAUUCGACAAUAAGCGACGAA
Molecule: ribosomal RNA, 847 nt
Filed under: uncultured Candidatus Altimarinota bacterium
Lineage: Bacteria; Candidatus Altimarinota
Description: bacterial SSU rRNA
Rfam family: Bacterial small subunit ribosomal RNA
Source: RNAcentral